CCUGAUAGAGAUCGUCCGAGUCCCGCACAUCAACACCGAGUCGGACUUGACCGAGUCUCCCAUGAAUUUCCUGUUGUUUCCGUCAACGGAGACCUCGUCGGAGGAUCCACAGUUGAUGAGAUAAUUGUCGACGGGAGAGAAGCGUUGGUAGAGAGAGGAGACAACUAGCAGGUGUAGAGAGAGAAACAGGAGGAGAGAGAAGCUAGGAUUUCCGUAAAGAUUCUCCAUGAGAGAGAGGAACGGAGAGACGUCGAAGACGAAACAGGGAAGUGAGUUAAAG
This 280-nucleotide long non-coding RNA is filed under the name Vitis vinifera (wine grape). Its description in RNAcentral is "long non-coding RNA (VVIN_LNC005232)". The record is from RNAcentral. Lineage: Eukaryota; Viridiplantae; Streptophyta; Magnoliopsida; Vitales; Vitaceae.